CGCCUUGCCAGCCCGCUCAGAAACUUAAAGGAAUGACGGGGCCGCACAAGCGGAGGAGCAUGUGGUUUAAUUCGAUGAUACGCGAGGAACCUUACCUGGGCUCGAACGUAAGAUGACUGUAGGUGAAAGCUUACAUCUCUUCGGAGCAUUUUACGAGGUGCUGCAUGGUUGUCGUCAGCUCGUGCCGUGAGGUGUCGGGUUAAGUCCCAUAACGAGCGCAACCCCUACCUUUAGUUGCCAUCAGGUUAAGCUGGGGACUCUAAAGGAACUGCCUACGCAAGUAGUGAGGAAGGCGGGGAUGACGUCAAAUCAGCACGGCCCUUACGUCCAGGGCUACACACGUGCUACAAUGGCCGAUACAGAGGGCAGCUACCUGGUGACAGGAUGCAAAUCUCCAAAGUCGGUCUCAGUUCGGAUCGGAGUCUGCAACCCGACUCCGUGAAGUUGGAUUCGCUAGUAAUCGCGCAUCAGCCAUGGCGCGGUGAAUACGUUCCCGGGCCUU
RNAcentral lists this ribosomal RNA (502 nucleotides) under uncultured Sphingobacteriales bacterium. Its description in RNAcentral is "bacterial SSU rRNA". It matches the Rfam family "Bacterial small subunit ribosomal RNA", at positions 903 to 1382 of the family's 1533-position model. The record is from RNAcentral. Lineage: Bacteria; Pseudomonadati; Bacteroidota; Sphingobacteriia; Sphingobacteriales.